Molecule: ribosomal RNA, 403 nt
Filed under: uncultured bacterium
Lineage: Bacteria
Description: partial 16S ribosomal RNA
Rfam family: Bacterial small subunit ribosomal RNA
Source: RNAcentral
AUUGAACGCUGGCGGCAGGCCUAACACAUGCAAGUCGAGCGAGCGGCGGACGGGUGAGUAAUGUAUGGGGACUGCCCGAUAGAGGGGGAUAACUACUGGAAACGGUAGCUAAAACCGCAUACUAUCGGAUAACCCAUAUGGGAUUAGCUAGUAGGUGAGGUAAUGGCUCACCUGGGCGACGAUCCCUAGAUGGUGUGCGAGGCUGAUCAGCCACCCUGGGACUGAGACACGGCCCAGACUCCUACGGAGGCAGCAGUGGGGAAUAUUGCACAAUGGGCGCAAGCCUGAUGGAGCAAUGCCGCGUGUAUGAAGAAGGCCCUAGGGUUGUAAAGUACUUUCAGUCGGGAGGCGUUACCGACAGAAGAAGCACCGGCUAACUCCGUGCCAGCAGCCGCGGUAAUAC